AGUGAACGCUGGCGGUAGGCCUAACACAUGCAAGUCGAACGGCAGCACAGUAAGAGCUUGCUCUUACGGGUGGCGAGUGGCGGACGGGUGAGGAAUACAUCGGAAUCUACUUUUUCGUGGGGGAUAACGUAGGGAAACUUACGCUAAUACCGCAUACGACCUACGGGUGAAAGCAGGGGAUCUUCGGACCUUGCGCGAUUGAAUGAGCCGAUGUCGGAGUAGCUAGUUGGCGGGGUAAAGGCCCACCAAGGCGACGAUCCGUAGCUGGUCUGAGAGGAUGAACAGCCACACUGGAACUGAGACACGGUCCAGACUCCUACGGGAGGCAGCAGUGGGGAAUAUUGGACAAUGGGCGCAAGCCUGAUCCAGCCAUACCGCGUGGGUGAAGAAGGCCUUCGGGUUGUAAAGCCCUUUUGUUGGGAAAGAAAAGCAGCAGGUUAAUACCCCGCUGUUCUGACGGUACCCAAAGAAUAAGCACCGGCUAACUUCGUG
Molecule: ribosomal RNA, 492 nt
Filed under: uncultured bacterium
Lineage: Bacteria
Description: partial 16S ribosomal RNA
Rfam family: Bacterial small subunit ribosomal RNA
Source: RNAcentral